RNAcentral lists this ribosomal RNA (253 nucleotides) under uncultured bacterium. RNAcentral's name for it is "partial 16S ribosomal RNA". It matches the Rfam family "Bacterial small subunit ribosomal RNA", at positions 524 to 776 of the family's 1533-position model. The record is from RNAcentral.
UACGUAGGUGGCGAGCGUUGUCCGGAUUGACUGGGCGUAAAGGGCGCGUAGGCGGUUCGUACAGUCAGACGUGAAAUUCCUGGGCUCAACCUGGGGGCUGCGUUUGAUACGUGCGGACUUGAGUGCGGAAGAGGGUCGUGGAAUUCCCAGUGUAGAGGUGAAAUUCGUAGAUAUUGGGAAGAACACCGGUGGCGAAGGCGGCGACCUGGUCCGAUACUGACGCUGAGGCGCGAAAGCGUGGGGAGCAAACAGG